UACAGAGGUGGCAAGCGUUGUUCGGAAUUACUGGGCGUAAAGGGCGCGUAGGCGGCUCGACACGUCCCGCGUGAAAGCCCCCGGCUCAACUGGGGAACUGCGCGGGAAACUGUCGGACUUGAGUUCGGGAGAGGGAAGCGGAAUUCCGGGUGUAGCGGUGAAAUGCGUAGAUAUCCGGAGGAACACCGGUGGCGAAGGCGGCUUCGUGGACCGACACUGACGCUGAGGCGCGAAAGCUAGGGGAGCAAACGGG
RNAcentral lists this ribosomal RNA (253 nucleotides) under uncultured bacterium. Its description in RNAcentral is "partial 16S ribosomal RNA". It matches the Rfam family "Bacterial small subunit ribosomal RNA", at positions 524 to 776 of the family's 1533-position model. The record is from RNAcentral.